UACGUAGGUGGCAAGCGUUAUCCGGAAUUAUUGGGCGUAAAGCGCGCGUAGGCGGUUUCUUAAGUCUGAUGUGAAAGCCCACGGCUCAACCGUGGAGGGUCAUUGGAAACUGGGAAACUUGAGUGCAGAAGAGGAAAGUGGAAUUCCAUGUGUAGCGGUGAAAUGCGCAGAGAUAUGGAGGAACACCAGUGGCGAAGGCGACUUUCUGGUCUGUAACUGACGCUGAUGUGCGGAAGCGUGGGGAUCAAACAGG
This 253-nucleotide ribosomal RNA is filed under the name uncultured bacterium. RNAcentral describes it as "partial 16S ribosomal RNA". It matches the Rfam family "Bacterial small subunit ribosomal RNA", at positions 524 to 776 of the family's 1533-position model. The record is from RNAcentral.